GAGUAUAAAUCUUACCGUAUCCGAGGAUCAUCUCAGUCUGAGAUUUUCUGGAGCACGGAUCAACUGCGAAUUUCCAUUCACCAAAAUGUGCAAGGUUAAGAGAGUAGUGUACCGCGUGGAGGUUUUUUAUGAGCAAGGGGGCGUUGCACGAAGUAUGGAAUUCACCAUUACAAAGGGCAAAAACAGGUGCUUCGCCAAAUAUGAGGCACCAAAUGCAAUUGUGAAAGCAGGGUCUCAGUGGAAAUUUGCUGGGCAGUACUUCGUCAGAAGUAUCGUCCACAAUUUUCUUACGUUGGACCAGACUCUGCAUCAGUGUCAGGAAGCACACAGCCCUCCUGCUAAGGAUGAUUUCUGCAGCCCAGCUACAGAGGCUGAGCCAGGUGUGGAACCUGAGGCAAACGUUGAGGAAUUCGCCACUGAACCUGUGGAUAACCAUCCGGAGGGGUCAGACACAUCUACCCCGAGACAAAAUGAUAUGGACCGGCAAACUCAUUCACCGGUCACAUCUGAAGGAACAAGGGUGGCAGAGUCAGCCAGUACUGCUCACCAAGGACUCUCUCUCCAGGACAGGCUGGCAAUUGAAUUUCAUCAGCAAAAGCUAAAGUGUCUGAAAGAAGAACAUGAGAUGAAAAUGAAAAUUCUUCGUUUACAACUAGAUAUGUUGAUGCAGAGAAAGAUGCAACUGGGUCAAAUGUACCAGAAACUGAAUAAAUAAAUAUUGUUUUCUUAACUCA
Brienomyrus brachyistius is the source of this 734-nucleotide long non-coding RNA. RefSeq lists it as uncharacterized. The record is from RefSeq and is a predicted model, not a curated record. The transcript is spliced from 3 exons. NCBI's taxonomy places the organism in Eukaryota, Metazoa, Chordata, Actinopteri, Osteoglossiformes, Mormyridae.